RNAcentral lists this ribosomal RNA (472 nucleotides) under uncultured bacterium. RNAcentral describes it as "partial 16S ribosomal RNA". It matches the Rfam family "Bacterial small subunit ribosomal RNA", at positions 28 to 507 of the family's 1533-position model. The record is from RNAcentral.
GACGAACGCUGGCGGUGUGCUUAACACAUGCAAGUCGAACGCUGACGCUUGGUGCUUGCACUGGUAGGGUGAGUGGCGAACGGGUGAGUAAUACGUGCGUAACCUGCUCUUGACUCUGGGAUAAGCCUGGGAAACUGCGUCUAAUACUGGAUACGACAUGUUACCGCAUGGUGCUGUGUGGCUAGGGUUUUUGUGGGUUUGGAUGGGCGGAGGGCUUAUGAGCUUGUUGGGGGGGUAAUGGCCCACCAAGGCGACGACGGGUAGCCGGCCUGAGAGGGUGAACGGCCACACGGGGACUGAGAGAGGGACCAGACGGGAACGGGGGACAGCAGGGGGGAGUAUUGCACAAUGGGCCGGAGUCUGAGGAGGAGACGCCGGGGGAGGGAAGACGGUCUGCGGGGUGUGAACCUCUGUAAGCACGGAAGAAGCGAAAGUGACGGUACGUGAAGAAGAAGCGCCGGCUAACUACGUG